This 439-nucleotide long non-coding RNA is filed under the name Drosophila guanche. The record is from RNAcentral. Lineage: Eukaryota; Metazoa; Arthropoda; Insecta; Diptera; Drosophilidae.
UGCCCACGCAAAGGGCGAAAAUCUGCUAUAUCCACAAUUUUGAAGAUAAAAGGAAACUAAAAACGGCAUUUCGUAGAGAAGGACACUAUCUGUCAUAUCGCUGAUCAGAUUGGAUCAUUAUUUCCGCCGGAAUGGAGAUUUUAAUUUGCAGUGGCUAUCCCCACCCCGCCCAGUAGCUUUUUUAUUUUUUGCCGCGCGUCAUGCGGCAGCGCCCUUCGGUCGGUUGGGCGGGAUGGCUGAGUUCUGCUGUGAUAGAUCAGUUCACUUGAUAGUUCAGUCAGAGCAAAUCAACGUCUAAACGAGAAGGGACGUGUGAGACGCUUCUUACGCGUCACAACUUUUAUACCCGGCACUCAGGACUACAUCUAGACGUAGAAGACAUCGCCAAGCACUAGAUAUCUUUCACAUUACAGAACACGUAAUGCCUACUAAAUAAAAU